GAUCAAGGUGUGCGAGGCCCUACGGGUAACCCUGGAAAGGAGGGCCCAAAGGGAGUAAAAGGAGAGAGAGGAUUUCCAGGCCCAACAGGAGAUAAAGGAGAUGAGGGUACUCCUGGAGUACCAGGUCUCCCUGGUGUGACAGGUCGAACGGGAGCUCAAG
Myripristis murdjan (pinecone soldierfish) is the source of this 160-nucleotide long non-coding RNA. RefSeq lists it as uncharacterized. The transcript is spliced from 3 exons. Lineage: Eukaryota; Metazoa; Chordata; Actinopteri; Holocentriformes; Holocentridae. The record is from RefSeq and is a predicted model, not a curated record.